AUCGCUUCUCGGCCUUUUGGCUAAGAUCAAGUAUAGUAUCUGUUCUUACCAGUUGAAACACACUUUUGGAGGUAAGUACUUCAA
RNAcentral lists this small nuclear RNA (84 nucleotides) under Panthera leo (lion). RNAcentral describes it as "U2 spliceosomal RNA (ENSPLOG00000001401.1)". It matches the Rfam family "U2 spliceosomal RNA", at positions 1 to 122 of the family's 192-position model. Rfam says of the family: U2 is a small nuclear RNA (snRNA) component of the spliceosome (involved in pre-mRNA splicing). Complementary binding between U2 snRNA (in an area lying towards the 5' end but 3' to hairpin I) and the branchpoint sequence (BPS) of the intron results the bulging out of an unpaired adenosine, on the BPS, which initiates a nucleophilic attack at the intronic 5' splice site, thus starting the first of two transesterification reactions that mediate splicing. Lineage: Eukaryota; Metazoa; Chordata; Mammalia; Carnivora; Felidae. RNAcentral also lists the same sequence under 1 other name. The record is from Rfam by way of RNAcentral.